GUUAGGAGGGAAUCAUCAACCUAAGUCAACUCGUGUCCUUCUUUGACGCUCACGAACAUAUUUUAAGUAUCGCAUGUAUAAAUGUAUUUUUUAGUAUAUUAUUAAUAAUUUAAUAUUUUAACGCAUUUUUUUAUUUUUUGAAUGUGGCCCUCGAAAUUUUUUUUAAGUAAUAGGUCCCUACGUGAAUUAGUAUUUAGUGACUAUCAUUGCUAAAAUAUAUUUAUGCUAAAAUUAUAUAAUUUUAAUGAUAAAAUUGUAGGUAUUUGUUUCUUUAGUUUAUAAUUAAAUAUUUAAAUUAGACAAACAGGCUACGUUUUCGGUUAUCUUAAAUUAUACUUAAUAAUUGUUAUUUAUUAUUGUUGUGAUUUUACGAAUAUACUCUGUACACUCCCGCGCAUACUCCAAUACACCCCCUGGGCCCUGGUUGCUGUCAUAAGUUCUCUGAAUUCCAUUUCCACAGAUAGUUACGUAUAUCUACGUAUAAUCAGUGGCGUACCUAACCUGCAAGAACCAAGAGGGAUGGAUCGCAGAGAAUGCGCGGUAGCACCUGAGCCUGGAGGCUCCCUAUUCUGAAAUACCUAUGUUUUUAUUGUAAUAAUAGGUAUAAUAUACUAUUUUAAAUUUA
Acyrthosiphon pisum (pea aphid) is the source of this 625-nucleotide long non-coding RNA. RefSeq lists it as uncharacterized. The transcript has 2 exons. The record is from RefSeq and is a predicted model, not a curated record. Lineage: Eukaryota; Metazoa; Arthropoda; Insecta; Hemiptera; Aphididae.